This 511-nucleotide small RNA is filed under the name uncultured Glomus. RNAcentral describes it as "SSU rRNA". It matches the Rfam family "Eukaryotic small subunit ribosomal RNA", at positions 569 to 1084 of the family's 1831-position model. The record is from RNAcentral. Lineage: Eukaryota; Fungi; Glomeromycota; Glomeromycetes; Glomerales; Glomeraceae.
AGCAGCCGCGGUAAUUCCAGCUCCAAUAGCGUAUAUUAAAGUUGUUGCAGUUAAAAAGCUCGUAGUUGAAUUUCGGGAUUAGUACGCUGGUCGUGCCUUCGGUAUGUACUGGUGUUACUGGUUCCUACCUUCUGACGAACCGUCAUGUCAUUAAUUUGGUGUGGCGGGGAAUCAGGACUGUUACUUUGAAAAAUUAGAGUGUUUAAAGCAGGCUCGCGCUUGAAUACAUUAGCAUGGAAUAAUGAAAUAGGACGUUCGAUCCUAUUUUGUUGGUUUCUAGGAUUGACGUAAUGAUUAAUAGGGAUAGUUGGGGGCAUUAGUAUUCAAUUGUCAGAGGUGAAAUUCUUGGAUUUAUUGAAGACUAACUACUGCGGAAGCAUUUGCCAAGGAUGUUUUCAUUAAUCAAGAACGAAAGUUAGGGGAUCGAAGACGAUCAGAUACCGUCGUAGUCUUAACCAUAGACUAUGCCGACUAGGGAUCGGAUGAUGUUAUUUUUAAUGACUCAUUCGGC